UUCAUUUACACAUGAUGAUUUUGUUCAACGUUUGAUACAAACAAAUUUGUGUUUUUUUAAUUCGCUACAGUUUUUUUAUAACCGUUACAGUAUAAAAAACCUUUUAGAAGUUCAUCAAUGGGUUUUAUACAUUAUUUUCAAAUUAAAGAUCAAGUAAAACGCAAGGUCUUUUUCUUGUCUAAACCAGUUACCAGCAGAAUUCUGUUUGCUUCUUAUUUAAUCGUUUCAAAACAAAAUGAUUUAAGUUUAUUAAUACACAAAAAACUUCAUAUUAUCAUUGCGUUCAAUUAAAAAAAUUAUGUUACUAGGAUGGACGUGUCCAUGUUAAAUACAUGGAAAUUUUAAACAAAGCCAAAUGAUAUGUGUUUGAGAAAAAACACUUCAAGAAAAAAUUAUCAACGAUUAUGAUUGUAAAAGUAAAUUUUUGAAAAAAAAGAAAAGGUUUACGCUUUCGCUAUGCGAUAAAAUAACUUGGAGCGUCACAGAAAAUCGUUAUUUCAGGUGACAGCCAAACACAUGUGUACUAACAAAUCGUUUCUAUUUGUUUUAAACAACCACGAACAAUGGAUUUCAAAUGCUUAUUCGUGAUACUCGUACCAACAUAACCUUCCUUGCGUCUAAGUAAACACUCCCCCUUUGUUUUAGAUUGAAUAACAUUUAGAGUUAAAAUUUGAAACUAAAACAACCAAAGCAUGGCAGCUAGAAGAAACGUCAAAUUGAAUUAUUGUGUUCUAAAACUUAAAAAUAAAAGGCUUCCAUAGUUGGAAUAGAAUUAUGAUAUUUUUCUUUAAUCCCCUUUAAAAGAUACAAAUAAAUUCACAAGCACCCAAUACUUUCGUCAGAAAUAACAAAAAAACUAAAGCACUAAUUUAAUUUGACUAUUUUAUGAUUUUUAUUUAUUUUUUCUUUAAAUUCUGUAACGAAAAUUUCAAAUUCUUUAAUACGUUAUAAUAGUCAUCUUGACCGCAAUCUUUUGUCUAAAAAAAUGCAAAAUUAAAAUCAUAAGACAUGUUUUACCAUUUUUUCUUAUGCGUCAAUCUAAAUGUCUAGAUACACUAUUUAAAAGGCGGUAUCUUGUUUAGUGAGAUAGUGCAUAAUUCAAUAUACCACAGUUCCGUUAGAGUAUCUAUUUUGUCAAAUUUAACCUACCGAUGAGGCUAAUCGCAGUGGAGUCGUCACAUUUUUAUAUUGAUCACCUUUUAAGUUUUCUUAAGAAACAUGGAGUAUGUGUUUGUUUACAAGGAAAAAUGUGGAAAAGAUAUGUAUUAUACUAUACAAUUACGUACAAGGACUGUGAUGCCAAUAAUUGAUGAAACAUGGUACCAUGUGUUGAAGUUGAGCAUGACGUAUAGAAAAUUACUCGUUUUAUCAUUAAGUCAAUUGUUAACCUUUAUGCCUCUGUUGAUUUUUUUGAGAAUAAAAUAUACCAAUAUCUUAAAUGUCUUGAUGCGUUGGCUGACUAGUGGUUUCUUCAAUGAACUAAACAAUGUUACCCUAGUGCAAACAACUUUAAUAAAAAACAUUCUUAAAAAAGAGGUCAAAUUUUAAAAAGCAUUUUUAUGCUUUUUUAAAAAUAAAUUUGGAUAACUUUAUCUUUGAGUGACUGUGGAGACCAACAAAACUCAUGACUGAAAUUGUGCAGCUACACAGAGUAAAAAAAUUUGGUUAUUUUUUCUAUGGACAAAGCAAUUAUAUCAAAGUAUCCUAGAGCUAUAGAUAACUUCUUUUUUUUUAAAAAGGAAAACACAAAAACGAAAUAUUAGGCAUUCAUAAAUACUUUUUUUUAAUUCCUUAUAAAUUUUUUUUAAAAUACUUCUUGUACCGUUUCAUAGUAACAAUUCAAACAAUCCAAUUGUCUAAGGUUAAUUUAAAAAGAUCUGGGCAUUCAUAUGCUUAUGGUCGGCAUAACGUUAAAAACUGUGAAUAAGUACGACUUUUAUAUUUAGAAAAUGACAAGUCGAGCUAAAAGUUGAAAGCAAGGGCUAUAAUGAGUGAAUCACCUUUUUUCCAAAGGACGCAUUGUAUUUUCCCACGAUUCCACUAAAUUAUUAAAGUUAAACAAGGAUGGUGAACAAAUGUAGAAGAAAAUCACUCAUUCACAAUAAAUUGAUUUCGAUUCUAACGCACUUCCUGUUAAGGGUUUCUGCAGUAAACUUGUUAAAAAAAUCUCAUUUAUUUAAAGCGCACAUAAACAAAUUAAAGAUUAAUAUGAAACAUUACAAAAAAAUUAAAAAAAUUUAUUAGCGUUAUUAAAAAAAAACCACUAUUUUCACGAUAUUCGUAGUAAACCUAUUUAUAAAAAGCGAACCAAUUUUAUUCCGUUGUUCUUGUUUGAAGGAACUAGAGGGUGCACUCAAUGUAGGUAAAAAAUAAUUUCAUUGCUACUGGAGCGUGUUUUGAAAAAUAGCAUCCUAAAACCGUUUUAUU
Hylaeus volcanicus is the source of this 2427-nucleotide long non-coding RNA. RefSeq lists it as uncharacterized. Lineage: Eukaryota; Metazoa; Arthropoda; Insecta; Hymenoptera; Colletidae. The record is from RefSeq and is a predicted model, not a curated record. The transcript has 3 exons.